This 337-nucleotide ribosomal RNA is filed under the name uncultured bacterium. Its description in RNAcentral is "bacterial SSU rRNA". It matches the Rfam family "Bacterial small subunit ribosomal RNA", at positions 30 to 358 of the family's 1533-position model. The record is from RNAcentral.
CGAACGCUGGCGUUCCUGGUUACACAUGCAAGUCGAGCGAGGUCCAUCCUGUCGCAAGACAGGGGAAGACCUACCGGCGAACGGGUGAGUAACACGUGAGCAACCUGCCCCGAAGACCGGGAUAACACCAGGAAACCGGUGCUAAUACCGGAUACCCUCAACGGACCGCAUGAUCCGAUGAGGAAAUGGAUUCCGCUUCUGGAGGGGCUCGCGGCCUAUCAGCUUGUUGGUGGGGUAACGGCCUACCAAGGCUCCGACGGGUAGCUGGUCUGAGAGGACGACCAUCCACACUGGGUACUGAGACACGGCCCAGACUCCUACGGGAGGCAGCAAUGGG